GAUGAACGCUGGCGGCGUGCCUAAUACAUGCAAGUCGAGCGAACAGACGAGGAGCUUGCUCCUCUGACGUUAGCGGCGGACGGGUGAGUAACACGUGGAUAACCUACCUAUAAGACUGGGAUAACUUCGGGAAACCGGAGCUAAUACCGGAUAAUAUAUUGAACCGCAUGGUUCAAUAGUGAAAGACGGUUUUGCUGUCACUUAUAGAUGGAUCCGCGCCGCAUUAGCUAGUUGGUAAGGUAACGGCUUACCAAGGCAACGAUGCGUAGCCGACCUGAGAGGCGGAUCACCCUCCCUGCAACAAGGAACCGGUCCAGGCUCCUACGAUAGGCAGCAGUCGGGAAUGUUGCGCGAUGGCCGAAAGCCUCACGGGCCGGCACGGCAGCAGUCCUGCAGGUCUUCGGGUCGUAGAACUCUGUGAUUAGGGAAGAAAAGAGGCGCACGUAGCUCUGCACUUGGUGACGGUAGCUGGUAAGAAAGACACGGCUAGCUACGUG
Molecule: ribosomal RNA, 497 nt
Filed under: uncultured bacterium
Lineage: Bacteria
Description: partial 16S ribosomal RNA
Rfam family: Bacterial small subunit ribosomal RNA
Source: RNAcentral